This 671-nucleotide ribosomal RNA is filed under the name Galerina cf. pallidispora UBC F19737. Its description in RNAcentral is "eukaryotic LSU rRNA". It matches the Rfam family "Eukaryotic large subunit ribosomal RNA", at positions 1 to 653 of the family's 3401-position model. Lineage: Eukaryota; Fungi; Basidiomycota; Agaricomycetes; Agaricales; Galerinaceae. The record is from RNAcentral.
UUGACCUCAAAUCAGGUAGGACUACCCGCUGAACUUAAGCAUAUCAAUAAGCGGAGGAAAAGAAACUAACAAGGAUUCCCCUAGUAACUGCGAGUGAAGCGGGAAAAGCUCAAAUUUAAAAUCUGGUGGUCUUUGGCCAUCCGAGUUGUAAUCUAGAGAAGUGUUAUCCGCGCUGGACCGUGUACAAGUCUCCUGGAAUGGAGCGUCAUAGAGGGUGAGAAUCCCGUCUUUGACACGGACUGCCAGGGCUUUGUGAUGCGCUCUCAAAGAGUCGAGUUGUUUGGGAAUGCAGCUCAAAAUGGGUGGUAAAUUCCAUCUAAAGCUAAAUAUUGGCGAGAGACCGAUAGCGAACAAGUACCGUGAGGGAAAGAUGAAAAGAACUUUGGAAAGAGAGUUAAACAGUACGUGAAAUUGCUGAAAGGGAAACGCUUGAAGUCAGUCGCGUUGUCCGGGAAUCAACCUUGCUUUUGCUGGGCGUACUUCCCGGUUGACGGGUCAGCAUCAAUUUUGACCGUUGGAUAAAGUCUAGGGGAAUGUGGCAUCUUCGGAUGUGUUAUAGCCCUUGGUCGCAUACAACGAUUGGGAUUGAGGAACUCAGCACGCCGCAAGGCCGGGUAUUCGUACCACGUUCGUGCUUAGGAUGCUGGCAUAAUGGCUUUAAUCGACCCGUC